CUCAGCUAUCUUCUUAAUUUUAGCUAACCGACUAUGAGGCUAUGAACUUAAAUACCAGUACAAGAGCUGGAUAUGAGAUUGGUCAGAGUCUCCGCUUGAACUACCCGAACGCACAAGACGAUCCGGGAAGCAAUGGAUUAUCUCCCUUAUACCGGCCUUCCUGCAUUGCUCAUUAUAAAUUUCUAACGGGAGCUUUUAGCCUUAUCCCAAUGGGAUCCCUAUUCUCAAAUUUCACGAGGCAUACCACAGACGGUUCGGUUACUAUCUUCAUCCUAAGGACUGUAAUUGACAGUGUAGUUAAAGCGGGCUGUGGUCUGUAUCAUCUUGGUCCUGUGUUCAGCCUGCGACCCACAUGACUGUAUAGGCUCUGGAUGGGGCUGGCAAAACUAUUUGUUCAGUUCUAUACAGGAUAAAUUUGAAAGAAACUGAACGAGUUCAAAUGCAUUUUAAAGGAACGACAGAAGGCACAAUUCCAAAAAACCAGAAGAAGGCUCCAGCAUGCAUUAAAGACAUUUUGCCUGGAUAAAAUGGUUCUAAGGAUACUAAGUCUUCUCUGAUGUUUACAAAGAUCAUCAUAUGCAAGGAAGUUAACAUCUCGUACGAAGCAUCGUAAUAUCCUGUAUAAGUGAUCCUGUCCCUGUCUAAGUAUUUGAACAAAUACA
Amphimedon queenslandica is the source of this 662-nucleotide long non-coding RNA. RefSeq lists it as uncharacterized. The record is from RefSeq and is a predicted model, not a curated record. The transcript has 3 exons. NCBI's taxonomy places the organism in Eukaryota, Metazoa, Porifera, Demospongiae, Haplosclerida, Niphatidae.